This 497-nucleotide ribosomal RNA is filed under the name uncultured bacterium. Its description in RNAcentral is "partial 16S ribosomal RNA". It matches the Rfam family "Bacterial small subunit ribosomal RNA", at positions 28 to 507 of the family's 1533-position model. The record is from RNAcentral.
GAUGAACGCUGGCGGCGUGCCUAAUACAUGCAAGUCGAGCGAACGGACGAGAAGCUUGCUUCUCUGAUGUUAGCGGCGGACGGGUGAGUAACACGUGGAUAACCUACCUAUAAGACUGGGAUAACUUCGGGAAACCGGAGCUAAUACCGGAUAAUAUUUUGAACCGCAUGGUUCAAAAGUGAAAGACGGUCUUGCUGUCACUUAUAGAUGGAUCCGCGCUGCAUUAGCUAGUUGGUAAGGUAACGGCUUACCAAGGCAACGAUGCAUAGCCGACCUGAGAGGGUGAUCGGCCCAACUGGAACUGAGGCACGGUCCCGACUCCUACGGGGAGCAGCAGUAGGGAAUCUUCCGCAAUGGGCGAAAGCCUGACGGAGCAACGCCGCGUGAGUGAUGAAGGUCUUCGGAUCGUAAAACUCUGUUAUUAGGGAAGAACAUAUGUGUAAGUAACUGUGCACAUCUUGACGGUACCUAAUCAGAAAGCCACGGCUAACUACGUG